Molecule: ribosomal RNA, 399 nt
Filed under: Triticum aestivum (bread wheat)
Lineage: Eukaryota; Viridiplantae; Streptophyta; Magnoliopsida; Poales; Poaceae
Description: partial small subunit ribosomal RNA
Source: RNAcentral
AUGAACCUAAUGAUCGGCAGCAGCAGCAGCUCUAGCCUGCUCCAGGAUCCUCACCAGCGGCUUGCAGCCGCACCGUUGUGCUUCGUCGAGCGGGGUGUUGCCCCACCUGUCUGCGGCCACAAGGUCAGCACCAAACUCCACCAGCAUCCCAGCGACGAGGUGCAGGCCCUCGCUGGCGGCUACGUGGAGCGGCGUCCUCCGGUCGUAGUUCCUGCAGUUGGGGUCGAUGCCGAACCUGAGCAGCCUCCUCAGCAGGUCGAUCUUGCCCUGGGCGACCACCCUGCACAGGUUCACGUACCAAGGAGGUCCUCCCGUCGUAAUCCGGUUUACUCGGAUCUGCUCCUGCACCGAUCAAGCCUUUCAACCGAAACAAAUCUCCAUGGUAGGCAGCAUUGUUGA